GGAAGAAAAAUUGUAUAUGAACCCUUUUUCUUUGCCCCUUUAUUAUUUAUACAGCAGUCCUGGACAGUUUUAAAGAAGUUUUAAGGAAUGGGAAGAUUCGAUUUGACUAGCAAUAGCUUAGUCUAGCAUGGUGUCAUGCAGAGCUUGGAGUUUGCUUUCAGCUAUGAAGAAUGAUCCCAGAGCAAAAAAGGCAGCUCGAUUGAGGAGCAAAGACCAGUAAUAGCAACUUGACACCAAUUUAUCCAGGAACAAAGGAAACCAGAGAUGCCUGUCCACAUGACCAAAGUUAGAUAUAUGUAAGAGAGUCAUAUUAGGUCUUCUACUUCAUCUUGCUACUGCAGGAUUACUCCCUAUGGUACAUUUUCUAGUGAUUUACCCACUCUAGUUUUAAAAGUCUUACAUCCUGAGGCUUCCACUAUUUCCCUUGGGAGAUGCCUACAGUUUAAGAGCUGCCCUUCACCUCUACACCCUCCAUGGGCAGGUAAUUUUCUUCCCAUGUUGGUUUACACUCCCUUCUUCAUCUAGAUGGAUUUCAACUAUGUGACAACAAAGAAAUCAAACACCGAAAUAGCAGAGGCUACAUAUCCUCUGCAUGACUAAUUUCUUCUGCCUUAAGGCAAUGUCUAGCACUGAAAUCAUAGCCUGUUUACUUCUGAUACUACAUUACACCAAAGAUUUAACUCUUGCUUAUAUAAAUCUACACAAACACAAGCCUAUUUACAUGGUUUUGUUUAGAGUUUGGAUUCAAAUAGCGUCAUUACCUUUUUCAGCCAAGCCAGUCACACAGCUUGAGCAGAACUCUAGUUUUCCUUUGAAACACAGGUAUUAGCAAACAGAAGGCUAAGGAGGGAAAGGAAACAGCAGUACACCCAUAGCCCUGUUGUUGGUGAGAAGAUUAACAGUAUUUGCAGCCAGGCGUAGUUCAGCACACAUGAAGUGGUGCAUUUGCACAGACACUAGCUUUUCUCUCUCUGUAGCACCAGCAAGUCAAGUUCACUUGCAUGAGGCUCUCUGCUACAAAGCCUUGGACAGCACCUGAUUGCUCUUUGUAAAUGCUUACUGCUACUACCGGUCCGAAGUAUUUUAAAUUAUUGUUGAAACAAAAAAUGGCUCUUUUACAAACCAUUCCUCUUGAUCUGGGGAGUUAGAAAAAAAUUCAAAACUAAACCAGCAACAGGGAGCUGAGCUAGAGCUAAAAAAAGGAGUAGCCAAUAGCUUCUACCACAUUAACUGGCUGACUGCGGUACUGAGUGAAGUUAUCCCAGUGCAGUAACCAUGAAUAGUUGGGGUUUUUUUUUUUUAGAAAAAAGCCUACUUUAGGCUAUGUCUACACUGCGCACCUUACAACAGCACGGCUAUGCUGCUGCAGCCACGCCACUGUAAGGUGCACAGUGUAGCCGUUCUUUGUCACCAGGAGAGAGCUCUCCCGGCGACAAAAUAAAACCACCUCCAACGAGGGGCGGUACCCUUCAUCCUCGGGAGCGUGGCUCCUGCGACAAAGUGCUGUCUACACUGGCGCUU
Long non-coding RNA from Chelonia mydas (Green sea turtle), 1521 nucleotides. RefSeq lists it as uncharacterized. NCBI's taxonomy places the organism in Eukaryota, Metazoa, Chordata, Testudines, Cheloniidae. The transcript has 3 exons. The record is from RefSeq and is a predicted model, not a curated record.